RNAcentral lists this unclassified non-coding RNA (210 nucleotides) under plant metagenome. Its description in RNAcentral is "partial contains small subunit ribosomal RNA, internal transcribed spacer 1, and 5.8S ribosomal RNA". The record is from RNAcentral.
UCUCCGUUGGUGAACCAGCGGAGGGAUCAUUACUGGAAUCGCAAGAUCCCACAACCCCUGUGAACCUACCGAGACGUUGCCUCGGCGGGCGCCCGGCCCCGCGCCGGGCGCUGAGCCCGCCGGCGGCCCCCUACUCUUGUCUCUGCAGCGUGGCAUCUCAGAGCCCCAGAAAACAAGUAAAAACUUUCAACAACGGAUCUCUUGGCUCUA